This 987-nucleotide ribosomal RNA is filed under the name uncultured bacterium. RNAcentral's name for it is "bacterial SSU rRNA". It matches the Rfam family "Bacterial small subunit ribosomal RNA", at positions 505 to 1501 of the family's 1533-position model. The record is from RNAcentral.
GUGUCAGCAGCCGCGGUAACACGUAGGAGGCAAACGUUAUCCGGAUUUACUGGGCGUAAAGCGCGUGUAGGUGGUUCUGUAAGUAGGGCGUGAAAGCUCCUGGCUCAACUGGGAAAGGCCGUUCUAAACUACAGAACUAGAGGAUGGUAGAGGGAGGUGGAAUUCCAGGUGUAGCGGUGGAAUGCGCAAAUAUCUGGAGGAACACCGGUGGCGAAGGCGGCCUCCUGGACCAUUCCUGACACUCAAACGCGAAAGCUAGGGUAGCAAACGGGAUUAGAGACCCCGGUAGUCCUAGCCCUAAACGAUGUAAACUAGGCGUCGGAAGCUUAAUCGCUUUCGGUGUCCAAGCUAACGCGAUAAGUCUACCGCCUGGGGACUACGGCCGCAAGGUUAAAACUCAAAGGAAUUGACGGGUCCCCGCACAAGCAGCGGAGCGUGUGGUUUAAUUCGUUGCUACACGAAGAACCUUACCUGGGUUUGACAUAGCAGUGGUAGGGAAGCGAAAGCGGACCGACCCUUCGGGGAGCUGUUACAGGUGUUGCAUGGCUGUCGUCAGCUCGUGUCGUGAGAUGUUCGGUUAAGUCCGCUAACGAGCGCAACCCGCGUUGUGUGUUACAAGUGUCACACAAUACCGCCGGUAUUAAGUCGGAGGAAGGUGCGGAUGACGUCAAGUCAGCAUGACCUUUAUAUCCAGGGCUACACACACGCUACAAUGGUCAGCACAAUAGGUUGCCAAGUCGUGAGACGGAGCCAAUCCUCCAAAGCUGGCCUCAGUUCAGAUUGCAGGCUGCAACUCGCCUGCAUGAAGUUGGAGUUGCUAGUAACCGCAGGUCAGCUAUACUGCGGUGAAUACGUUCCCGGGGAUUGUACACACCGCCCGUCAAGUCAUGGGAGCUGGCAACACCUGAAGCCGGUAUCCUAACCCGCAAGGGAGGGAGCUGUCAAAGGUGGGGUCGGUGACUGGGACUAAGUCGUAACAAGGUAACC